Molecule: ribosomal RNA, 425 nt
Filed under: uncultured bacterium
Lineage: Bacteria
Description: bacterial SSU rRNA
Rfam family: Bacterial small subunit ribosomal RNA
Source: RNAcentral
UGGGGAAUAUUGGACAAUGGGCGCAAGCCUGAUCCAGCCAUUCCGCGUGCAGGAUGAAGGCCCUCGGGUUGUAAACUGCUUUUGUACGGAACGACAAGGCCUUUUCUAAUACAGAGAGCUCAUGACGGUACCGUAAGAAUAAGCACCGGCUAACUACGUGCCAGCAGCCGCGGUAAUACGUAGGGUGCAAGCGUUAAUCGGAAUUACUGGGCGUAAAGCGUGCGCAGGCGGUGAUGUAAGACAGGUGUGAAAUCCCCGGGCUUAACCUGGGAACUGCAUUUGUGACUGCAUUGCUGGAGGGCGGCAGAGGGGGAUGGAAUUCCGCGUGUAGCAGUGAAAUGCGUAGAUAUGCGGAGGAACACCGAUGGCGAAGGCAAUCCCCUGGGCCUGCACUGACGCUCAUGCACGAAAGCGUGGGGAGCAAA